AUUGAACGCUGGCGGUAUGCUUAACACAUGCAAGUCGAACGGUAACAGGAGAGAGCUUGCUUUCUUGCUGACGAGUGGCGGACGGGUGAGUAACGCGUAGGAAUCUGCCUAGUAGUGGGGGACAACUCGGGGAAACUCGAGCUAAUACCGCAUACGCCCUACCGGGGGAAAGCCGGGGGAUCUUCGGACCUCGCGCUAUUGGAUGAGCCUGCGUUGGAUUAGCUUGUUGGUGAGGUAAUGGCUCACCAAGGCGACGAUCCAUAGCUGGUCUGAGAGGACGAUCAGCCACACUGGGACUGAGACACGGCCCAGACUCCUACGGGAGGCAGCAGUGGGGAAUAUUGGACAAUGGGCGAAAGCCUGAUCCAGCAAUACCGCGUGUGUGAAGAAGGCCUGCGGGUUGUAAAGCACUUUCAGUAGUGAAGAAAAGCCUGGAGUUAAUAACUCCGGGUCUUGACGUUAACUACAGAAGAAGCACCGGCUAACUCUGUG
Molecule: ribosomal RNA, 492 nt
Filed under: uncultured bacterium
Lineage: Bacteria
Description: bacterial SSU rRNA
Rfam family: Bacterial small subunit ribosomal RNA
Source: RNAcentral